This 543-nucleotide ribosomal RNA is filed under the name Bifidobacterium adolescentis. Its description in RNAcentral is "bacterial SSU rRNA". It matches the Rfam family "Bacterial small subunit ribosomal RNA", at positions 158 to 710 of the family's 1533-position model. Lineage: Bacteria; Bacillati; Actinomycetota; Actinomycetes; Bifidobacteriales; Bifidobacteriaceae. The record is from RNAcentral.
GGGUGGUAAUGCCGGAUGCUCCAGUUGGAUGCAUGUCCUUCUGGGAAAGAUUCAUCGGUAUGGGAUGGGGUCGCGUCCUAUCAGCUUGAUGGCGGGGUAACGGCCCACCAUGGCUUCGACGGGUAGCCGGCCUGAGAGGGCGACCGGCCACAUUGGGACUGAGAUACGGCCCAGACUCCUACGGGAGGCAGCAGUGGGGAAUAUUGCACAAUGGGCGCAAGCCUGAUGCAGCGACGCCGCGUGCGGGAUGACGGCCUUCGGGUUGUAAACCGCUUUUGACUGGGAGCAAGCCCUUCGGGGUGAGUGUACCUUUCGAAUAAGCACCGGCUAACUACGUGCCAGCAGCCGCGGUAAUACGUAGGGUGCAAGCGUUAUCCGGAAUUAUUGGGCGUAAAGGGCUCGUAGGCGGUUCGUCGCGUCCGGUGUGAAAGUCCAUCGCUUAACGGUGGAUCCGCGCCGGGUACGGGCGGGCUUGAGUGCGGUAGGGGAGACUGGAAUUCCCGGUGUAACGGUGGAAUGUGUAGAUAUCGGGAAAAGAACACC